ACUUCAAAAGCAGUGCUGAAGUUGAGAGCUGAGAACACAGAGGAGGCAACUGAUUGGAGUGACCUGGUCCGCCGGAUGCUCAUGUCCUACCUGGAAGUGGCUGAGGAGGCCCUCACACUUGGAGGCCAUCUGGAUGGCAGUUCACAGGCAAUCCUGAAGAAUACUGUUAAGGAAAAUGGAUAUUUGCUGCAGUAUCUGGUUGCCAUCCCCAUGGAGAAAGGCCUGGACUGCCAAAGUUUCAUAUGUGCAGGCUGCUCCAGGCAGAUUGGCUUCUACUUUGUGAAACCUAAGCUGUGUUCAUUCACUGGCCUCUAUUUUUGUGACAAUUGCCACCAAGAUGAAGAGUCUGUGAUACCUUCAUGUCUAAUUCAUAACUGGGAUCUUUCCAGAUAUCCGACCCUGCAGAUGGCGGAGUGGAAAUGGCAGUCUGCGUGGCGAUGUCGGCCUCCAUACCCGACACACCUAGAGGAUGAUGCUGGCUGGGCCUUCCCUCUGUGAGGCCUUCUCUCCGGAGCCUGAUGCAGCUGGUCCACUUCCGAUUCUGGAUCCUGUUUGGAUUCUUCGUGAGCGACCUCUUGAUGGACGGUGGCUGGAACUUGAGGGGGCUUGGCAAGCCGCAAGGCCUUCACAGCUCUGCCUGCUGCUUCUUCAGCUGAAACUUCCCUCAGUUCCCGUGAGGCCUUCCUUCGCGAAGAGCUUCUGCUGCAACUUCCGGCUUCCGAGGCCACAGACCAGCCGAUCUCUUCCAAGUCUUUGAAUUCGCAGGGCCUAGCUGCUUGUUGCAAGGCCGCAACAAAUUCUGCAGCACACUCACCAGGCCUCUGGUCCCUCUGCUCAAACGCGUGUCACCAGGCAAUCACUGAGAGCUUGGGUUCGAAAUGCUCUUAAAGCAUCCUCUUCAAGUCAGUGUAGGUGAUUGAUUCCAGUGGUGCUGGGGCGACCAGAUUCUCCUCAAUAUCGAAGGUCUCUUGUCCCUCCCCCCCCACAGCAACGUGGCAGCUUUGAGGCCGUCUUCGCGCAUUUGAUUCACCCGGAGGUAGUUGUCCACCCGGGUCACGUACGAGCUCCAUCGUUCUGGAUGAACUGUGUCAAACUUCGACAGCCGGCCUAUCUUCGCCAUCGUUGCAGCCCAGGAACUUCGUCCACACCUCUUGCUGCAGGGUUUGAGAAGGGCCCCCCUUCACUAAGCUCACCUCCAGCAUUUCUGUGCUGACAGGCCGAGUCGCAAUCGCCAGACACCCCUCCUCCAAGCUGCAAGCCUCCCGUGAGAAGCCAGAGUGGUUCUGAAUUACUUCUAUGUGGGCAGAAAACCAGGGUGCCUCCUGUUCCUGAAGACAACAGAUUGGCUUACAGGAUCCAGAAGAAAUGGAGACAAGUGAGGGAAAGUGGCAAAUUCAGGAGGAAUGACUGGGAAACUGCCAUCUUUAUCCACACUAGUGUCAACAUGGAGUGAUGGCUUAGAUGACUUUAAAAUUCAAUGGGUGAACAGUUACAUUUAGAGAGUACAACAGAUGGCUCUAGACAUCAAUUGCCAAGUAAAAGCCAACCUAUGUUAAACACUGCAACCCAAUCCUAAAGUAUACGUACUCAGAACUAAGCCUCAUUGAGUUUAAUACACACCCAAAAUGACAGGAUUAUUUAUUUAUUUAUUUAUUUAAACAAAUUUAUGUAACUGUCUGAUUCACACAUAAGUAUUCCAGGCAGCUUGCAAAAUCUGCAAAAAAUCCACCAUCCAGUCACACUAUUAUUAUUUUAUUAUUAUUAUGGAUCAUCGCACAGUCGGCCAGAUUUUGUCUACCUAUCGAGUCCUUACCCAGGACCUGGGAUAGGCAGAU
RNA transcript from Crotalus tigris (Tiger rattlesnake), 1835 nucleotides. It is a transcript of the gene named putative pleckstrin homology domain-containing family M member 1P, with no coding region annotated. The transcript has 4 exons. Lineage: Eukaryota; Metazoa; Chordata; Lepidosauria; Squamata; Viperidae. The record is from RefSeq and is a predicted model, not a curated record.